RNAcentral lists this microRNA precursor (103 nucleotides) under Propithecus coquereli (Coquerel's sifaka). RNAcentral's name for it is "miRNA (ENSPCOG00000009669.1)". The record is from RNAcentral. Lineage: Eukaryota; Metazoa; Chordata; Mammalia; Primates; Indriidae.
ACCUUCCUGAGAGAGGCUGGGGCAGGCAGUGACUGUUCAGACGUCCAGUGUCUUUGGGACACCUCUUCAGCGCUGUCUCCCCUGCCUUUAGGACGAGUCUCAA